ACAAAACAGAGGGUAUUAUUUUACAAAUAUGAAACAGUAAUAUAUCAGCUAUGGAGGUCUGCGGGAGCCUAAAAACAUAAACUAGAAUAUUUUUAAAUCAUCUGAAAUCUCAUCAUACUGCCCUCUAGAUGGGUAUCAUUCCUGUCUUUGUUCCAGUUUAUUUAAAUAUGGAGAUAUUUGGACUCAGAGAAGAAAAGUAAACGCUCGAAGUCACAGAACUAGGAUUGAAGCCAGCCUUUACUGAGUGAGUUAUUUGCAGUUGUGCUGGUAAAUGUGCAACAAUCAACUCCCUGAAAAUAACCCCCCUGCUGAAAUAGCUGAAAGAUGCUGAGCCAGAAGAAAGCAAAAGAGGGGAAAGAUUGUCGUUCGUGACUGGGCAGCGGGUUCAGAGUGGAAGACAACUGAGGGCAGGGAGGGGCGGACAAAGGAGAAUGCUGACUUUCAUAAAGUAAAAGCAAAAUGAU
Molecule: long non-coding RNA, 464 nt
Filed under: Equus caballus (horse)
Lineage: Eukaryota; Metazoa; Chordata; Mammalia; Perissodactyla; Equidae
Description: lncRNA (ENSECAG00000052351.1)
Source: RNAcentral